RNAcentral lists this unclassified non-coding RNA (171 nucleotides) under uncultured Helotiales. Its description in RNAcentral is "sequence contains ITS1". The record is from RNAcentral. Lineage: Eukaryota; Fungi; Ascomycota; Leotiomycetes; Helotiales.
CUGGGUCAAUCUACCCGAAAGGGAGAAUCCAAACCCCUGAAUACUGUACCUUUAGUUGCUUUGGCGGGCCACAGGGCUCACGCCCUGUACCGGCUCCAGCUGGUUAGCGCCCGCCAGAGGACCCUAAACUCUUGAAUAUUGAAAUCGUCUGAGUAAACAAAAAAUUAUUUA